UCUUUGGAUGAACUGUGGAUAGGGGUGAAAGGCCAAUCAAACUUGGAAAUAUCUUGUUCUCUCCGAAAUAACUUUUGGGUUAGCCUCAAGUAUUAAUGAUAUGGGGGUAGAGCACUGGAUUCACGCGGGGGUCUACCGACCUACCAAAGGGAACCAAACUCCGAAUACCAUAUCAAAGCUUGGGAGAUAGACAGUGGGGGAUAAGCUUCAUUGUCGAGAGGGGAACAGCCCAGACCGUCAACUAAGGUCCCUAAUUCUACGCUAAGUGAGAAAGGAAGUAAAGUUUCUUAGACAGUUGGAAUGUUGGCUUAGAGGCAGCCAUCAUUUAAAGAGUGCGUAACAGCUCACCAAUCGAGAGACUUUGCGCCGAUAAUAUGCGGGACUAAGUGUAGAACCGAAGUUACGGGUUCAGUGUAUACUGAGCGGUAGGAGAGCGUAGUUUAUGCGCCGAAGGCAUACCGGAAGGAGUGCUGGAGCGUAAACUAGUGAUGAUGCAUGGCAUAAGUAACGAUUAAGGGGGUGAGAAUCCCCCUCGCCGAAUGCCGAAGGUUUCCAGGGUAAAGGUCGUCUUCCCUGGGUUAGUCGGCCCCUAAGUCGAGGUAGAAAUACGUAGACGAUGGGAAGCAGGUUAAAUAUUCCUGCACCACCUAAAACGAUAGCAAUGGAAUGACGGAGUACGUUAAGCAUGGGGACCAUUGGAAGUGUCCCUAAGACUAUGAGAAAGGCUGGCAGGCAAAUCCACCGGCGUAAUUUCAGGUAGUCUUCAAGUGGAGCCCUCGGGUGAAGCGAUGGUGUAGCGCAAUGCUUCCAAGAAAUAGUUUCUAGCUGUUGAUGGUGACCGUACCAAAACCGACACAGGUUGGCAGGAUGAGUAUUCUCAGGCGCGCGAGUGAACUCUCGUUAAGGAACUCGGCAAAUUAUCCUCGUAACUUCGGGAGAAGAGGAGCCACAGAUGGUGAUUACCCUUGCGGUAUGAGCUGUAGGUGGCCGCAGAGAAAUGGCCCAGGCGACUGUUUACCAAAAACACAGCACUAUGCAAAGCCUAAACGGCGAAGUAUAUGGUGUGAUGCCUGCCCAAUGCCAAAAGGUCAAAGGGAGGGGUUAGCUUUUGCGAAGCUCCGAACUCAAGCCCUGGUGAAUGGCGGCCGUAACUAUAACGGUCCUAAGGUAGCGAAAUUCCUUGUCGG
This 1187-nucleotide ribosomal RNA is filed under the name marine metagenome. RNAcentral's name for it is "bacterial LSU rRNA". It matches the Rfam family "Bacterial large subunit ribosomal RNA", at positions 797 to 1975 of the family's 2925-position model. The record is from RNAcentral.